CAAUAGCGUAUAUUUAAGUUGUUGCAGUUAAAAAGCUCGUAGUUGGAUUUCGGUUAAGAGCGACCGGUCCGCCGUUUGGUGUGCACUGGUUGGUUUUAACUUCCUGUAGAGGACGUGCUCUGGGUUUAACGACCUGGACUCGGAGUCUACGUGGUUACUUUGAAAAAAUUAGAGUGUUCAAAGCGGGCUUACGCUUGAAUAUUUCAGCAUGGAAUAACACUAUAGGACUCCUGUCCUAUUUCGUUGGUCUCGGGACGGGAGUAAUGAUUAAGAGGAACAGUUGGGGGCAUACGUAUUUCAUUGUCAGAGGUGAAAUUCUUGGAUUUAUGAAAGACGAACUUCUGCGAAAGCAUUUGCCAAGGAUGUUUUCAUUA
This 374-nucleotide ribosomal RNA is filed under the name uncultured eukaryote. Its description in RNAcentral is "partial 18S ribosomal RNA". It matches the Rfam family "Eukaryotic small subunit ribosomal RNA", at positions 592 to 975 of the family's 1831-position model. The record is from RNAcentral.